UGUGUUGCUUACCUACGGAAAGGAAUUCGAUCGUACCGUUGCCCUUUUCCGCCUGAUUCCUUUUGCGGGUGUGGGGUGGACGCUAGGCAUGCANCGUGUUCCUCGCAUGACCUGNAUUUUUGUGGGGCUGUUGAGGUGCAUGGAGCUGUUGCCUGUUCUCUCGGAUGCGGAAUGUCACGCAUGGGUGCGGGGUCUUGGCCUUUGCUCACCCAAGCUACGCAUUUGUCCCUUGACACGAACGACUGCUGCGGUNGCCUUGAUCCCGUCGUAGCCUANGUGCUUCAUCGGNCUCAUGCUNCUGUCGGCGUCGUCNANGAAUGCUACCUGGUUGAUCCUGCCAGUANUCAU
RNAcentral lists this unclassified non-coding RNA (348 nucleotides) under Campylopetalum siamense. RNAcentral's name for it is "partial external transcribed spacer". Lineage: Eukaryota; Viridiplantae; Streptophyta; Magnoliopsida; Sapindales; Anacardiaceae. The record is from RNAcentral.